UACGGGGGGGGCAAGCGUUGUUCGGAAUUACUGGGCGUAAAGGGCUCGUAGGCGGCCAACUAAGUCAGACGUGAAAUCCCCAGGCCCAACCUGGGAACUGCGUCUGAUACUGGAUGGCUUGAAUCCGGGAGAGGGAUGUGGAAUUCCAGGUGUAGCGGUGAAGUGCGUAGAUAUCUGGAGGAACACCGGUGGCGAAGGCGGCAUCCUGGACCGGUAUUGACGCUGAGGCGCGAAAGCCAGGGGAGCAAACGGG
RNAcentral lists this ribosomal RNA (253 nucleotides) under uncultured bacterium. Its description in RNAcentral is "partial 16S ribosomal RNA". It matches the Rfam family "Bacterial small subunit ribosomal RNA", at positions 524 to 776 of the family's 1533-position model. The record is from RNAcentral.